UACGUAGGGGGCUAGCGUUGUCCGGAUUUAUUGGGCGUAAAGAGCGUGUAGGCGGCCAUGUAGGUCCGGUGUGAAAACUCGAGGCUUAACCUCGAGAUGUCAUCGGAAACCAUUUGGCUAGAGUCCGGAAGAGGAGAGUGGAAUUCCUGGUGUAGCGGUGAAAUGCGCAGAUAUCAGGAAGAACACCCGUGGCGAAGGCGGCUCUCUGGGACGGUACUGACGCUGAGACGCGAAAGCGUGGGGAGCGAACAGG
This 253-nucleotide ribosomal RNA is filed under the name uncultured bacterium. RNAcentral describes it as "partial 16S ribosomal RNA". It matches the Rfam family "Bacterial small subunit ribosomal RNA", at positions 524 to 776 of the family's 1533-position model. The record is from RNAcentral.